ACAGGUGGUGCAUGGUUGUCGUCAGCUCGUGUCGUGAGAUGUUGGGUUAAGUCCCGCAACGAGCGCAACCCUUAUCUUUAAUGCCAGCAUUCAGUUGGGCACUUUAAAGAGACUGCCGGUGUUAAACCGGAGGAAGGUGGGGAUGACGUCAAGUCCUCAUGGCCUUUAUGCUUAGGGCUACACACGUGCUACAAUGGGUGGUACAAAGAGAAGCCAACUCGCGAGAGCGCGCCAAUCUCAAAAAGCCAUCCUCAGUUCGGAUUGGAGUCUGCAACUCGACUCCAUGAAGUUGGAUUCGCUAGUAAUCGCGCAUCAGCCAUGGCGCGGUGAAUACGUUCCCGGGCCUU
This 347-nucleotide ribosomal RNA is filed under the name uncultured Smithella sp. RNAcentral's name for it is "bacterial SSU rRNA". It matches the Rfam family "Bacterial small subunit ribosomal RNA", at positions 1034 to 1382 of the family's 1533-position model. The record is from RNAcentral. Lineage: Bacteria; Pseudomonadati; Thermodesulfobacteriota; Syntrophia; Syntrophales; Smithellaceae.